Molecule: long non-coding RNA, 1205 nt
Filed under: Felis catus (domestic cat)
Lineage: Eukaryota; Metazoa; Chordata; Mammalia; Carnivora; Felidae
Description: lncRNA (ENSFCAG00000047553.1)
Source: RNAcentral
UCAUGAUAGUUCAGUCUCUUCUUGAAUGCUUACUACUCCAAUCAAAGCAGAUGGGUUUUUUUAAAUCUUUUGUUUUAAUGUUUAUUUAUUUUUAAGAGAGAGAGCAUGCACACACAUGAGUAGGGGGAGGAGAGAGAGGAGGACAGAGGAUUUGAAGUGGGCUCUAUGCUGACAUCAGAAAGCCCAAUGUGGGGCUCUAACUCACAAACUGAGAUCAUACCUGAGCUGAAGUCAGAAGCUUAACCAGCUGAGCCACCCAGGCACACCUGUUGUGCUGUGUUUUUAAUGAUUAGAGAAUUCUUCCUUUGUUUGAACUGUAAUCUGUCUUCCUGUGACUGCCAUGCCCUAAGUUUGUAUAAAUCACUAUAACACCUAUGUGUGAACACAUGCACAAUCUGUUCCCUGCUAUCAAAAUGUAAUAUGUGCAUACCCUUGAUUCAGCAAUUCCUAUAGAAAUACUAGCACAAUUAUAGAAAAUAAAGGUAUGUGAGGACGUUCACUGGGGCUUUGUAAUAAUGCUUUCCCUAGUUUGGGAACAGUUCAAGUAAAUAUAGAAGGAUCAUUUGACAGAGAUUCUGUAGAGGGCAUUCCUGCAUCGAGUAGGAGCUUCGAUUGAUAACCUCAAAAGUUUGUGUAGUUAUAAGCCUUUGGUGUGCUCAUUUACAGGAGGAGAGGAGAGCAGACCCUUCUGGUCUCCUGCUCCAUCUUCUCUACCUUUGUUGUUUCUGCUCAGCACAGGAACUCCAUGGAAAAGGGCAUCAGGAUAAGGAAUAUCCCAGAACAUGCUCUCAUCAAGCUAAUGUAGGACAUCAAGCAUCAUGAAAAAUUACUCUGGCAUGUGCAGAGGAUCUAAUAUCCCAGUUUUCAGUACCAAAGCCAGGUGCGCAACACUGUUCCCUUCCUCCCACGAGGCAUCCUGAAUAAGUUUUACUUCUUAAACGCGGAGGCGGCAAUAAGAACCCUUGAGCGUUUGCGGUCGGUUCCCAUGUAGUUUCCAAAUAUGUCCUCUAGGUGUCUCCAGUGACCAGUAUUGGUGGAGAUUUCCGCGUAAGGGGGCCAGCGGCGCCGGGACUAUUUCAGCUUGCAGGAACAAGUUCUGCAAUCACUUCUUUAGAGCAUUUUGAUGGUCUCGAAUGAAGUAUUUUGGAUUCCAUGUUUGUUUUUCGUGCAAUAAAUACUUCUAAAUAUUGAAAAAACUUUGUGCA